UGACCUCGGAUCAGGUAGGGAUACCCGCUGAACUUAAGCAUAUCAAUAAGCGGAGGAAAAGAAACCAACCGGGAUUGCCUCAGUAACGGCGAGUGAAGCGGCAAGAGCUCAAAUUUGAAAGCUGGCUCCUUCGGGGUCCGCAUUGUAAUUUGCAGAGGAUGCUUCGGGUGCGGCCCCUGUCUAAGUGCCCUGGAACGGGCCGUCAGAGAGGGUGAGAAUCCCGUCUGGGAUGGGGUGUCCGCGCCCGUGUGAAGCUCCUUCGACGAGUCGAGUUGUUUGGGAAUGCAGCUCUAAAUGGGUGGUAAAUUUCAUCUAAAGCUAAAUACUGGCCGGAGACCGAUAGCGCACAAGUAGAGUGAUCGAAAGAUGAAAAGCACUUUGAAAAGAGAGUUAAAAAGCACGUGAAAUUGUUGAAAGGGAAGCGCUUGCGACCAGACUCGCCUCCAGGGUUCAGCCGGCAUUCGUGCCGGUGUACUUCCCUGGGGGCGGGCCAGCGUCGGUUUGGGCGGCCGGUCAAAGGCUCCCGGAAUGUAGUGCCCUCCGGGGCACCUUAUAGCCGGGAGUGCAAUGCGGCCAGCCUGGACCGAGGAACGCGCUUCGGCACGGACGCUGGCAUAAUGGUCGUAAACGACC
RNAcentral lists this ribosomal RNA (633 nucleotides) under Aspergillus flavus. RNAcentral's name for it is "eukaryotic LSU rRNA". It matches the Rfam family "Eukaryotic large subunit ribosomal RNA", at positions 1 to 649 of the family's 3401-position model. The record is from RNAcentral. Lineage: Eukaryota; Fungi; Ascomycota; Eurotiomycetes; Eurotiales; Aspergillaceae. RNAcentral also lists the same sequence under 3 other names.